RNAcentral lists this ribosomal RNA (504 nucleotides) under uncultured bacterium. RNAcentral's name for it is "partial 16S ribosomal RNA". It matches the Rfam family "Bacterial small subunit ribosomal RNA", at positions 29 to 523 of the family's 1533-position model. The record is from RNAcentral.
AUUGAACGCUGGCGGCACGCCUAACACAUGCAAGUCGAGCGGCAGCAUGCUUAGUAGCAAUACUAAGUGAUGGCGAGCGGCGGACGGGUGAGGAACACGUAGGAACCUGCCCAAGAGAGGGGGAUAACUAAGGGAAACUUUAGCUAAUACCGCAUAAUCUCUGAGGAGAAAAGCUGCCCGUAAGGGUAGCGCUUUUGGAGGGGCCUGGGUCCGAUUAGCUAGUUGGUGAGGUAAAAGCUCACCAAGGCGAUGAUCGGUAACUGGUCUGAGAGGACGACCAGUCACACUGGGACUGAGACACGGCCCAGACUCCUACGGGAGGCAGCAGUGGGGAAUCUUGGACAAUGGGGGCAACCCUGAUCCAGCGAUGCCGCGUGGGUGAAGAAGGCCUUCGGGUUGUAAAGCCCUUUAGGCUGGGAAGAAGUGUGCGGGAUGAAUAAUCCUGUACAUUGACGGUACCAGCAGAAUAAGCACCGGCAAACUCUGUGCCAGCCGCCGCGGUAA